Molecule: long non-coding RNA, 815 nt
Organism: Oncorhynchus keta (chum salmon)
Lineage: Eukaryota; Metazoa; Chordata; Actinopteri; Salmoniformes; Salmonidae
Exons: 4
Source: RefSeq, a predicted model, not a curated record
ACAUAACGGUUCCGUGCACUUCCCGAAGGAAGGAUAACUGCUUCCGCCUUCCAUCUCGCGCAUGUAUACCUUCAAAAAGCGGGCCACAGCGUCGCUCAGUGGACAUAUCUGAACAGUCAGGUCUUCCAACAUGAUAUCCCACUGUUCGCUCCUGAUGAUUCUGGACAUUUUCCCGUGUUGUAAUAAUUACUUUAAUGAUCUGCAAAUUGAUUUAUAAUCGAAAAACCGAAGCAGCAUUGGCUACUCAAUUAGAAUACUGGGUUAUUAUGUCCAUGUUUUUUUUAAUGUUCGGUGGAUUUACUUUUGAAGGCCCAAAUUGAAGUUUCAGGAAACGUUCAAGGAUCGAGGGUAGUUCUACCCAGCAUUGCAAGCAACAAUUUAAACUUACAAUAGGACCAUAAAGCGUUUUCCCCAAUCAGACUGGAUGGGAGGCAGCUGAGAAAUGAACAUAUUACUGGGGAGGUUAGGUAGUGACAGAUACCUGAUGCCAGUUUCAUCAGUCAGCUGGGGACGACAAGUGAAUUGAAUUCCCCCAAAGUGCCUGUCCAUUUCCUGUCUGUGUGCGACGAGCAGCGAGGCUGCUGGGAGAAGCUCAGAUUCACUCUGUCUUUCAAUGCAUUUUACACACUUACAAAACGUGACAGCACAUAUUUCAAAUAAAAAGAUUAGAAACUUAACUGAUACAUUUUUGUUGUUGCAAUGCUCAAAAUAUAAUAUUUUAACCUUCAAUGACUACAAAAUAGUGCAGCACCAAGUGUGAUUGAAUAUAGUAUUAUUGUAUAAACACCAUUCUUUCUUCAACCAAUGCACUAUAC